RNAcentral lists this ribosomal RNA (432 nucleotides) under uncultured bacterium. Its description in RNAcentral is "bacterial SSU rRNA". It matches the Rfam family "Bacterial small subunit ribosomal RNA", at positions 29 to 507 of the family's 1533-position model. The record is from RNAcentral.
AACGAACGCUGGCGGCAUGCCUAACACAUGCAAGUCGAACGAAGUCUUCGGACUUAGUGGCGCACGGGUGCGUAACGCGUGGGAAUCUGCCCUUGGGUGCGGAAUAACUUCUCGAAAGGGAUGCUAAUACCGCAUAAUGUCGUAAGACCAAAGAUUUAUCGCCCAAGGAUGAGCCCGCGUAAGAUUAGCUAGUUGGUGGGGUAAAAGCCUACCAAGGCGACGAUCUUUAGCUGGUCUGAGAGGAUGAUCAGCCACACUGGGACUGAGACACGGCCCAGACUCCUACGGGAGGCAGCAGUUGGGAAUCUUGGACAAUGGGGAAACCCUGAUCCAGCCAUGCCGCGUGAGUGAUGAAGGCCUUCGGUUGGUAAACUCUUUCGUACGGGGACGAUAAUGACGGUACCCGUAGAAGAAGCUCCGGCUAACUUCGUU